AAGAACUCGACGAGACACUCCAAAUUGCGUAUUCGAGAAGAUUAGCUCAGAGAUAAACCCUAAAUUGCAAUGGAGAGUGCGUUCGCUAGUGCCUCUGCCAUCAGCGACCAACGCCAGAAAAUCGAACAGUACAAGCACAUUCUCUCCACCGUUCUCGCAUCAAGCGAUAUCCAACAAGCCAAGCAGUUCAUCGAUCACAUGCUAUCGGAUGACGUACCCUUGGUGGUAUCUAGACAGCUAUUGCAGACAUUUGCCCAGGAAUUCGAUAGAUUGGAACCUGAUGUUCAAAAGGAAGUAGCACACUAUACUCUCAACCAGAUACAGCCUCGUGUGGUGUCCUUUGAAGAACAAGUGUUGAUCAUUCGGGAAAAACUUGCAGAAUUAUAUGAGUCUGAGCAACAAUGGUCAAAA
This 411-nucleotide unclassified non-coding RNA is filed under the name Hevea brasiliensis (rubber tree). Lineage: Eukaryota; Viridiplantae; Streptophyta; Magnoliopsida; Malpighiales; Euphorbiaceae. The record is from RNAcentral.